Panthera pardus (leopard) is the source of this 107-nucleotide small nuclear RNA. Lineage: Eukaryota; Metazoa; Chordata; Mammalia; Carnivora; Felidae. The record is from Ensembl.
GGGCUCGCUUCGGCGGCACAUACACUAAAAUUGGAAGGAUACAGAGAAGAUUAGCAUGGCCGCGGCGCAAGGGUGACACACAAGUUCGUGAAGUGUUCCAUAUUUAA